GCCGGGCACAGUGGCAUGUGCCUGUAGUUCCAGCUACUCGGGAGGCUGAGGUGGGAGGAUCGCUUGAGCCCAGGAGUUCUGCGCUGUAGUGAGCUAUGCCAAUAGGGUGUCCGCACUAAGUUCGGCAUCAAUAUGGUGACCUCCUGGGAGUGGGGGAACACCAGGUUGCCUAAGGAAGGGUGAACUGGCCCAGGUUGGAAACAGAGCAGGUCAAAACUCCUGUGCUGAUCAGUAGUGGGAUGAUGCCUGUGAAUAGCCACUGCACUACAGCCUGGGCAACAUAGCGAUACCCUAUCUUU
RNAcentral lists this signal recognition particle RNA (299 nucleotides) under Aotus nancymaae (Ma's night monkey). RNAcentral's name for it is "Metazoan signal recognition particle RNA (ENSANAG00000004078.1)". It matches the Rfam family "Metazoan signal recognition particle RNA". From Rfam's summary of the family: The signal recognition particle (SRP) is a universally conserved ribonucleoprotein. It is involved in the co-translational targeting of proteins to membranes. The eukaryotic SRP consists of a 300-nucleotide 7S RNA and six proteins: SRPs 72, 68, 54, 19, 14, and 9. The record is from RNAcentral. Lineage: Eukaryota; Metazoa; Chordata; Mammalia; Primates; Aotidae.